Molecule: unclassified non-coding RNA, 321 nt
Organism: Myotis lucifugus (little brown bat)
Lineage: Eukaryota; Metazoa; Chordata; Mammalia; Chiroptera; Vespertilionidae
Gene: 7SK
Rfam family: 7SK RNA
About the family: 7SK was discovered as an abundant small nuclear RNA in the mid-70s but a possible function has only recently been suggested. Two independent studies have found that 7SK RNA binds the CDK9/cyclin T complex (known as elongation factor P-TEFb). P-TEFb activates transcription by phosphorylating the C-terminal domain of RNA polymerase II.
Source: Ensembl
GGAUGUGAGGGCGAUCUGGCUGCGACAUCUGUCACCCCAUUGAUCACCAGGGUUGAUUUGGCUGAUCUGGCUGGCUAGGCGGGUGUCCUCCUCCUCCCUCACCGAUCCAUGUUCGUCCCUCCCGAAGCUGCGAGCUCGGUCGAAGAGGACGACUCUUCCCCCGCGAGGAGAGGACCGGUCUUCGGUCAAGGGUAUACGAGUAGCUGCGCUCCCCUGCUAGAACCUCCAAACAAGCUCUCAAGAAUAUUUUGUUGCCAAAACCAGUUUGGCUCAGUGGAUAGAGCAUCAGCCUGCGGAUUGAAGGGUCCCAGGUUCGAUUCC